This 499-nucleotide ribosomal RNA is filed under the name uncultured Janthinobacterium sp. RNAcentral's name for it is "bacterial SSU rRNA". It matches the Rfam family "Bacterial small subunit ribosomal RNA", at positions 352 to 844 of the family's 1533-position model. Lineage: Bacteria; Pseudomonadati; Pseudomonadota; Betaproteobacteria; Burkholderiales; Oxalobacteraceae. The record is from RNAcentral.
CAGUGGGGAAUUUUGGACAAUGGGCGAAAGCCUGAUCCAGCAAUGCCGCGUGAGUGAAGAAGGCCUUCGGGUUGUAAAGCUCUUUUGUCAGGGAAGAAACGGUGAGAGCUAAUAUCUCUUGCUAAUGACGGUACCUGAAGAAUAAGCACCGGCUAACUACGUGCCAGCAGCCGCGGUAAUACGUAGGGUGCAAGCGUUAAUCGGAAUUACUGGGCGUAAAGCGUGCGCAGGCGGUUUUGUAAGUCUGAUGUGAAAUCCCCGGGCUCAACCUGGGAAUUGCAUUGGAGACUGCAAGGCUAGAAUCUGGCAGAGGGGGGUAGAAUUCCACGUGUAGCAGUGAAAUGCGUAGAUAUGUGGAGGAACACCGAUGGCGAAGGCAGCCCCCUGGGUCAAGAUUGACGCUCAUGCACGAAAGCGUGGGGAGCAAACAGGAUUAGAUACCCUGGUAGUCCACGCCCUAAACGAUGUCUACUAGUUGUCGGGUCUUAAUUGACUUGGU